CCCAGACUCCUACGGGAGGCAGCAGUGAGGAAUAUUGGUCAAUGGCCGGAAGGCUGAACCAGCCAAGCCGCGUGAGGGAGGAAGGCGCAGAGCGUCGCAGACCUCUUUUGCCGGGGGACAAAAGGCCGGACUCGUCCGGUCCUGAGGGUACCCGGAGAAAAAGCAUCGGCUAACUCCGUGCCAGCAGCCGCGGUAAUACGGAGGAUGCGAGCGUUAUCCGGAUUUAUUGGGUUUAAAGGGUGCGUAGGCGGUCCGUUAAGUCGGCGGUAAAAUUGCGGGGCUCACCCCCGUCGAGCCGUUGAAACUGGCAGACUUGAGUUGGCGAGAAGUACGCGGAAUGCGCGGUGUAGCGGUGAAAUGCAUAGAUAUCGCGCAGAACUCCGAUUGCGAAGGCAGCGUACCGGCGCCAGACUGACGCUGAGGCACGAAAGCGUGGGUAUCGAACAGGAUUAGAUACCCGUGUA
Molecule: ribosomal RNA, 464 nt
Filed under: uncultured bacterium
Lineage: Bacteria
Description: partial 16S ribosomal RNA
Rfam family: Bacterial small subunit ribosomal RNA
Source: RNAcentral